CCUACGGGAGGCAGCAGUGGGGAAUAUUGCACAAUGGGGGAAACCCUGAUGCAGCGACGCCGCGUGAGUGAAGAAGUAUUUCGGUAUGUAAAGCUCUAUCAGCAGGGAAGAAGCAAGACGGUACCUGACUAAGAAGCCCCGUCUAACUGCGUGCCAGCAGCCGCGGUAAUACGUAGGGGGCAAGCGUUAUCCGGAUUUACUGGGUGUAAAGGGAGCGCAGGCGGCGCGUUAAGCCUGGUGUGAAAGCCCGCGGCCCAACCGCGGGACUGCAUUGGGAACUGGCGCGCUGGCGGGCCGGAGGGGGG
Molecule: ribosomal RNA, 305 nt
Filed under: uncultured bacterium
Lineage: Bacteria
Description: bacterial SSU rRNA
Rfam family: Bacterial small subunit ribosomal RNA
Source: RNAcentral